CUUCUACUCCCUCUGUCCGGAAAUACUUGUCAUCAAAAUAAAUAAAAGGGGAUGUAUCUAGAUGUAUAUUAGUUCUAGAUACAUCUCUUUUUAUCCAUUUUGAUGACAAGUAUUUUUGGACGGAGCCACGGAGGGAGUACUAA
Triticum aestivum (bread wheat) is the source of this 143-nucleotide non-coding RNA. Lineage: Eukaryota; Viridiplantae; Streptophyta; Magnoliopsida; Poales; Poaceae. The record is from Rfam.